UACGUAGGGGGCAAGCGUUGUCCGGAAUCAUUGGGCGUAAAGCGCGCGUAGGCGGCCCGGUAAGUCCGCUGUGAAAGUCAAAGGCUCAACCUUUGAAAGCCGGUGGAUACUGCCGGGCUAGAGUCCGGAAGAGGCGAGUGGAAUUCCUGGUGUAGCGGUGGAAUGCGUAGAUAUCGGGAGGAACACCAGUGGCGAAGGCGACUACCUGGCCUGUUCUUGACGCUGAGGCGCGAAAGCUAGGGGAGCAAACGGG
This 253-nucleotide ribosomal RNA is filed under the name uncultured bacterium. RNAcentral's name for it is "partial 16S ribosomal RNA". It matches the Rfam family "Bacterial small subunit ribosomal RNA", at positions 524 to 776 of the family's 1533-position model. The record is from RNAcentral.